This 253-nucleotide ribosomal RNA is filed under the name uncultured bacterium. RNAcentral's name for it is "partial 16S ribosomal RNA". It matches the Rfam family "Bacterial small subunit ribosomal RNA", at positions 524 to 776 of the family's 1533-position model. The record is from RNAcentral.
GACGAAAGUGACAAGCGUUGUUCGGAAUCACUGAGCAUAAAGCGCACAUAAAUAACACCAUAAAUCAAAUGUGAAAUCCCUCGGCCCAACCGAGGAACUGCGUCCGAUACUGCGGUGCUUGAGGGUCAAAGGGGUGCAUGGAAUUCCCAAUGGAACAAUGAAAUGCGUUGAUAUCGGGAGGAACGCCGGCGGCGAAAGCGGUGCACUGGUUGACUUCUGACACUCAUGUGCGAAAGCCAGGGGAGCAAACGGG